This 506-nucleotide ribosomal RNA is filed under the name uncultured bacterium. Its description in RNAcentral is "partial 16S ribosomal RNA". It matches the Rfam family "Bacterial small subunit ribosomal RNA", at positions 28 to 523 of the family's 1533-position model. The record is from RNAcentral.
GACGAACGCUGGCUACAGGCUUAACACAUGCAAGUCGAGGGGUAACGAGAGGAAAGCUUGCUUUCCUUGUCGACGACCGGCGCACGGGUGAGUAACGCGUAUCCAACCUGCCCCCAACUAGGGAAUAACCUUGCGAAAGUAAGACUAAUACCCUAUAAUUUCCUCAGAUGUCAUCUGACGAGGAAUAAAGAUUUAUCGGUUGUGGAUGGGGAUGCGUCUGAUUAGCUUGUUGGCGGGGUAACGGCCCACCAAGGCAACGAUCAGUAGGGGUUCUGAGAGGAAGGUCCCCCACAUUGGAACUGAGCCACGGUCCAAACUCCUACGGGAGGCAGCAGUGAGGAAUAUUGGUCAAUGGGCGGAAGCCUGAACCAGCCAAGUAGCGUGCAGGAUGACGGCCCUAUGGGUUGUAAACUGCUUUUAUACAGGAAUAAAGUUAGCCACGUGUGGUUAUUUGUAGGUACUGUAUGAAUAAGGACCGGCUAAUUCCGUGCCAGCCGCCGCCGUAG